GAUUAACGCUGGCGGCGUGCAUAACACAUGCAAGUCGAACGAUGAAACUCAUUAGAUUUCUUCGGAAUGACAAUGAAUGGAUUAGUGGCGAACGGGUGAGUAACGCGUGAGUAACCUGCCUUACACAAGGGGAUAGCCUCUGGAAACGGAGAAUAAUACCCUAUGAAACCAGACAAUCGCAUGAUAAUCUGGUCAAAAUGUUUAGUGGUGUAAGAUGGACUUGCGUCUGAUUAGCUAGUUGGUGAGAUAAAAGCUCACCAAGGCAACGAUCAGUAGCCGGCUUGAGAGAGUGUACGGCCACAUUGGGACUGAGACACGGCCCAGACUCCUACGGGAGGCAGCAGUGGGGAAUUUUGCACAAUGGGGGAAACCCUGAUGCAGCGACGCCGCGUGAUUUAGAAGGCCUUCGGGUUGUAAAAAUCUUUUGUAUAGGAAGAAAAUGACAGUACUAUACGAAUAAGGUCCGGCUAAUUACGUG
Molecule: ribosomal RNA, 478 nt
Filed under: uncultured bacterium
Lineage: Bacteria
Description: partial 16S ribosomal RNA
Rfam family: Bacterial small subunit ribosomal RNA
Source: RNAcentral